Molecule: ribosomal RNA, 272 nt
Filed under: uncultured bacterium
Lineage: Bacteria
Description: partial 16S ribosomal RNA
Rfam family: Bacterial small subunit ribosomal RNA
Source: RNAcentral
CUUCCGCCGGCGACCGGCGCACGGGUGAGUAACACGUAUGCAACCUGCCCCUGUCAGGGGGACAACCGCCGAAAGGCGGGCUAAACCCGCGUACAUGCCACCGGGGCAUCCCGGAGGCAGGAAAGGCUUCGGCCGGACAGGGAUGGGCAUGCGGCGCAUUAGGCAGUAGGCGGGGUAACGGCCCACCUAACCGACGAUGCGUAGGGGUUCUGAGAGGAAGGUCCCCCACACUGGUACUGAGACACGGACCAGACUCCUACGGAAGGCAGCAG